Molecule: ribosomal RNA, 309 nt
Filed under: uncultured Rhodobacterales bacterium
Lineage: Bacteria; Pseudomonadati; Pseudomonadota; Alphaproteobacteria; Rhodobacterales
Description: SSU rRNA
Rfam family: Bacterial small subunit ribosomal RNA
Source: RNAcentral
AUGAACGCUGGCGGCAGGCCUAACACAUGCAAGUCGAGCGCUACCUUCGGGUGGAGCGGCGGACGGGUUAGUAACGCGUGGGAAUAUACCCUUCACUAUGGAAUAGCCUCGGGAAACUGAGAGUAAUACCAUAUACGCCCUUCGGGGGAAAGAUUUAUCGGUGAAGGAUUAGCCCGCGUAAGAUUAGAUAGUUGGUGGGGUAAUGGCCUACCAAGACUAUGAUCAAUAGCUGAUUUGAGAGGAUGAUCAGCCACAUUGGGACUGAGACACGGCCCAAACUCCUACGGGAGCAGCAGUGGGGAAUCUUGC